RNAcentral lists this long non-coding RNA (423 nucleotides) under Gopherus agassizii (Agassiz's desert tortoise). RNAcentral's name for it is "lncRNA (ENSGAGG00000022673.1)". Lineage: Eukaryota; Metazoa; Chordata; Testudines; Testudinidae. The record is from RNAcentral.
AUAGUACCAAGGAAGACUCCCAUCAAGGACCAGAAAGCAAUAUCUCUCAUCAUCUAACAUCAAGGCAGCUGACAGCUGGCCCCUGCCUGUCUUAUCUUUCCAACUCAAUAGCAGACAAGACCUUCCUCAGAGAGACUUGGGGAUGAGGAGUGAACACAACAUUUUGCAAAACAGCACAAAGCAGAUUGCACGUUACUCAUUUACAAAGGAAUAUAAAGAUGGAUGUCGUAUGUUCUCAGUGCUUGGACAAUAUUUAAGGACUUCUGGAAAAAGGUGAGAAGGACAGGUGGGUCUGGAGUAAUGGAUGGCCAGUGACCUUUCAUAACUUUUAGGAAGGAAAACCAUCACCAAACCAGACAGCUCAACUGAGAUGUGUUCUUGUACAAAAAUAAAAUAAAAUAAAAAUAAAAAAGGAAAAAUGGG